UACGAAGGGUGCAACCGUUGCUCGGAAUCAUUGGGCGUAAAGCGCACGUAGGCGGCCUUGUAAGUCGGAUGUGAAAUCCCACGGCUCAACCGUGGACGUGCAUUCGAAACUGCUCGGCUCGAGUAUGGAAGAGGGUCGCGGAAUUCCCGGUGUAGAGGUGAAAUGCGUAGAUAUCUGCAGGAACACCCGUGGCGAAAGCGGCGCGCUGGACCACUACUGACGCUGAGGAACUAAAGCUAGGGGAGCAAACAGG
This 253-nucleotide ribosomal RNA is filed under the name uncultured bacterium. Its description in RNAcentral is "partial 16S ribosomal RNA". It matches the Rfam family "Bacterial small subunit ribosomal RNA", at positions 524 to 776 of the family's 1533-position model. The record is from RNAcentral.